CCGAUGGGGGGCUUUAACCACAAUGGCAAGUCGGAGGGGCAUCGAGGGUAGCAAACCUGUCGGCGACCGGCGCAAGGCGGGCCCGCGUAUGUAACCUGCCCGCAACAGAGGGAUAACAAGGAAGAAAGUCGGACUAAUACCUCAUAAAACAGGGGUUCCGCAUGGGGCUAUUUGUUAAAGAUUUAUUGGUUGCGGAUGGGCAUGCGUACCAUUAGGUAGUUGGUGAGGUAACGGCUCACCAAGCCAUCGAUGGUUAGGGGUCCUGAGAGGAAGGUCCCCCACACUGGUACUGAGACACGGACCAGACUCCUACGGGAGGCAGCAGUGAGGAAUAUUGGUCAAUGGGCGAGAGCCUGAACCAGCCAAGUCGCGUGAAGGAUGACUGCCCUAUGGGUUGUAAACUUCUUUUACAGGGGAAUGAAAUGAGAUACGUGUAUUUUAUUGCAUGUACCUUGUGAAUAAGCAUCGGCUAACUCCGUGCCAGCAGCCGCGGUAAUACGGAGGAUGCGAGCGUUAUCCGGAUUUAUUGGGUUUAAAGGGUGCGUAGGUGGGCUGUUAAGUCCGCGGUGAAAGUUUGUCGCUUAACGAUAAAAUUGCCGUUGAAACUGGUAGUCUUGAGUAUAGAUGAAGUAGGCGGAAUGCGUGGUGUAGCGGUGAAAUGCAUAGAGAUCACGCAGAACUCCGAUUGCGAAGGCAGCUUACUAAGGUAUAACUGACACUGAAGCACGAAAGCGUGGGUAUCAAACAGGAUUAGAUACCCUGGUAGUCCACGCAGUAAACGA
RNAcentral lists this ribosomal RNA (782 nucleotides) under uncultured bacterium. RNAcentral's name for it is "bacterial SSU rRNA". It matches the Rfam family "Bacterial small subunit ribosomal RNA", at positions 36 to 809 of the family's 1533-position model. The record is from RNAcentral.